RNAcentral lists this ribosomal RNA (253 nucleotides) under uncultured bacterium. RNAcentral describes it as "partial 16S ribosomal RNA". It matches the Rfam family "Bacterial small subunit ribosomal RNA", at positions 524 to 776 of the family's 1533-position model. The record is from RNAcentral.
UACGUAGGGUGCAAGCGUUAAUCGGAAUUAUUGGGCGUAAAGAGCUCGUAGGCGGUCUGUCGCGUCCGUUGUGAAAACUCGAGGCUCAACCUCGGGCUUGCAGUGGAUACGGGCAGACUAGAGUGCGGUAGGGGAGACUGGAAUUCCUGGUGUAGCGGUGGAAUGCGCAGAUAUCAGGAGGAACACCGAUGGCGAAGGCAGGUCUCUGGGCCGCAACUGACGCUGAGGAGCGAAAGCAUGGGGAGCGAACAGG